This 626-nucleotide long non-coding RNA is filed under the name Homo sapiens (human). RNAcentral's name for it is "long intergenic non-protein coding RNA 1350". The record is from RNAcentral. Lineage: Eukaryota; Metazoa; Chordata; Mammalia; Primates; Hominidae.
AGGCAAGGCCAAGGCUUCUUGAAAGGCUGGUCAUGCCCCAGUGAUCAAUGAAGAACUCAGGGAUAUCCCAAAACUCAGGACUAUAAGGCACAAUGGGGGAGCAGGUACCAGGUGGCCAGCAUCCUAAAUGACUCUCAGCAGCUGCAGAGAACAUUCUCAUAAAAGAGAAUCAGUCAUCCUGAGUGUAAAUAACAAGAGCUGCCUAUAAAUCUACCUCAGAAGACAAAGGGAAAAGCAAAACUCUGCCCAGGAAGACCUUACUUUACAAACCAGGUGACCAAAUUUCUAAAACAUCAUUCCCGUAAUCCCUGAUCAACAGAAAGGAAGCUCUGGAAGCAUGAAUGGUCAGUACACACAUCGUCCACAGGACUCACACACCACAAACUAGUCAUUGAUCCUUUUGACCCAAUUUCAGAAAAUAUGUUUACAUAGAGACACAUAUUUUUGCUAUUUACUUUUUGAGCAACCAACAGGAAAACCUAUCCACAUAUGUCCAUUAUGAUCCUCUCUAAUGAAGACUAUCUCUUUAUGUUGUUUAAACAAAAAGAAAUUAAUGCAUGAGAAUGUCAAAGUUCUGAGCUUUAAGUUUCUGUACUCAAUAUAUUGAAUAAAAGAUAUAUGUAGUA